Molecule: ribosomal RNA, 235 nt
Filed under: Alexandrium margalefii
Lineage: Eukaryota; Dinophyceae; Gonyaulacales; Pyrocystaceae
Description: partial Bacterial small subunit ribosomal RNA
Rfam family: Bacterial small subunit ribosomal RNA
Source: RNAcentral
GGGGAUGACGUCAAGUCAUCAUGGCCCUUAUGGGCUGGGCUACACACGUGCUACAAUGGUGGUGACAGAGGGCAGCUAGACGGCGACGUCAUGCUAAUCCCAAAAAGCCAUCUCAGUUCGGAUUGCACUCUGCAACUCGGGUGCAUGAAGUUGGAAUCGCUAGUAAUCGUGGAUCAGCAUGCCACGGUGAAUACGUUCCCGGGCCUUGUACACACCGCCCGUCGCACCAUGGGAG